UUCUUUCUUAUCUUUUAACCAUUGGGUCUUUUCAACUGCUUGGCAUGUAUUCGCUUUAUUGUGUUUUUGAAGUGUUUGAUUUUGUGCUGCUUAACUAGUGAUGAAUAUUUGAUGCUUGAAGUUUCUUUGAAAAAUAGUUUGGAGAACAUGUGUGAGAUCAUGCAGAGUGCUCAAGAACUGUCAUAUGACGGGUCUUGUGUAACAAACAGCCUUAAGCCUCGGCAUAUUUGAUCAAGUUACAAGCAAGUGGCUUAGAGCAAGCCCAAUGCAAUUCCCUAUUUUCAACCCUUAAAAUAUUAUAUAUUAAUGGUUACUUAAAAUAUUGGGGAUCAAAAAGCUAUUUUGCUCCAACGAUGUUCUCUAUUUGAUUCCCUAUAUUUUAAAUCUGUAGAGAGAAAGAUUGCACUAAUAAAUAACGGAAAAAUAAGAGGAGAUAUGAGCUGGUGAUGACAUGGAGCAUAUAGGGGUUGCUUUUUCAUCCCUCAAAUAAGGUGUUGAACUUUCUCUCACCUAAAAUUAAUAGGGGAUAGGGAGUUGCGUUGGAGGAGCUCUUUUUGUUCUAAAUCCUCAAAUCUUGUCCAUGUAGAUCAAAUAUAGGUAAGGAAUUGGUGCAUUGGAGUUGCUCUUAUAACUGAAUUCUGAUCUUUCUCUCCUUGUGUAAAUAUAGCUGAGAGCUCAAUUAAGGAUUGUGCAGCUAGCAUUGGAGUGAGUGAGUACUCGAGCUAGUUAAACAACUUAGCCUACAUCUCCAAGUCGCUGAAAUUAAAUAGCUUAUCUUGCACAGUCAAGUUGCUAUAAUUCUACGUAGAAAUUGCACUAAGUUCGGGCUACCUUAAAAAUAUUCUUUAAGUUAUUGAUUUAGGAAUUUGGGUUAGGAUGGCUGAGUUAUGGAACCUAAUGUUUUGAGAUCACCGAGUAUGGAGCUUGGUUUACUCGAUAUUGUGCCCUUUCAUGGGUUGUUGAAGAUGAAAGGUCACUCCAUUGAAGUGACCGAGUACUCAUGCUUAUUUUUGUGCUCUGUAAGCAAGAGUCCUUUAAUGGAAAGCGUAACCAGGAUAUGUGUCUAUCACAAUCCUCUAAUGGUUGCCAAGCAAAAGCAGGACUUUAAAGAAGUUGAAACCUAUGUUACCCAAACUCGGCUAAAAGUGUCCUACAUGGAUAUGUGUCUGAGUAUCAGAAUCGGCAAUAAUUAGAAAAUUUUACAUGUUUAUGACUUAAAUAUGUGUCAGAGUGUCCAUUGCCAUGUCCGAGUGUCGAGUAUCCGACACAAGUACCCAAGACAAAAUGAAGAGUACGGGUUACAUUUGUUGAAACAGUCUUAUAAUGACAAGCAAAGUCAGGAUCCCUCUAAUGGUAAACAAAGUCAGGGUCCUUUAAUGGCAAGCCAAGUUAGGACGUGAGAUAUGUAUGGUGAACCUGUAUGGUGCCUGGAAAAUUGUGCCUCGAUUCUCUGUUUGAAAUUCUCGCCAAAUUCUGUUGAGGUAGGCCAUGAGCCUUGAAAUGCCUUUUGAAAGCAGAUGUUACUAUUGGUGAAAAGGAAUGAUGAGAUUGAUGGAGAUUUAAAUGGGAACCAUAAGUAGGUUUUCUUCCAAUUCUUUAAUAGGCUUAUCUUAUUUGUCAAGUUGCUUUCAUUUUCUUCUAUAAAUCUGACAGCUUAACUUGCAGUCAGACAAGUUGUUGUGAUUCUUGAUCUCUGAUAUCUCUUCCAAUCUAUUUCUUCAAAUUCUUCUCCAUUUCUAAUCUCUCCUUCUCGCUUCUUCAUCUACCUUUACGACUGAUCAUCUUCUUUAUUUGGUCUGCAACUACUAGCACUUUUUCACUGGCGUCUAAACAUCAAUCCGUUAUCUUCAAGAUAAGAGCUCCACACAGGUCUCACUCGUUAGUUUGAGGGGAAGUUUUAAGGGAUGGGGCUGGCAGGGAGUUUCUUAGAUGCAUGUGGAAGCGAAAGAGACGACUUUGGGCGAUGUUCUUGUUAGAGCAUUCCGCAGAAUAUCAUCUCUGGCCAUUCAUUUGAAAGUGAGGAUUAUAGAAGGUUUUUGUUUAAACCACUUCAAAGAAAUUUGCAGCUUGUGGCGAAGGUGUUCGAUGAGUUGCCUGUAUGAAGAUUUUUUUCAAUUGGCUGCAACAGGACUGCCUUUCGAAAAUCCAAGGUGCUGUGCUAUAGAACUCUUGCCUUUAGAAGCAAUGAAGAGGGUUGUCGAGCAAAACCAGAAAUUUCAAGUUUGGACCACCGCAACCCCAGUAAGCAGCGAUAACAUAUAAUAUUUGAGCUGCAACCGUUAAAAGCAUUUGGCAAGAACUUAAUCCGACUAAUGUUAAUAUGCUUUAGACAAUGAGUAAUGAUACGGGGGUCUCAUUAUCAUUAGUGUGAGCGAAACCAAUCACAUUGCCAAUAAGAUUUGAGAACACUUUCUGGUAUCUAGUAUUUCCUAUCAAACAUCGCUAAAGACGAGAAUUGUACCAGUAUUCAUUAUCAUUUGUUCUUGAGUCUUACAAAGCUUAAGUUAUCAGUUAUGGUUGAACCUCGCGAAGGAGGAUCAUCGUAUAGUUUGGCCGCAAAAGUCUGGGGAGUCUGAUCACCACCAUGCAACGAUGCUUGGUAAGUCAAAUAGUACAAAAACUAUGAGAAAACGAUCUCAUAACUCAUUACCUUGAUGACAACAUUUGGAAUACUUCUUUCCCUGCACGAGGAACGGUUGGGGCCAUUUGAAAACUUCUGAAUGCUGCUGAACUGAUUGAAAACUGAAUCGCUCAGUCGCUAAGCUCGUUUGAUAAAUUACUAUAUUAUCUGAUUGAUUCUUAAAACUUACUGAAACAUUCUGUGUUUUAAUUUUUAUUUUUUUUGAAUCAUUCAGAUUAUAAUAUUUACGGAAACUUGACUACUGCAAUACAUAUUUUGCAAGUGUUGAAUAAUUAAUAUAUUGUUUCCUAUUGUUUGAAAUCAUUAACCAUGAAAUUAAUUUGAUAUUUGUUGAUCUCCUGUAUACAAUUAUAUUAUUUAAUUAUUCCUUAAAGAAUACAAUUAUUUUUUCCAAAAUUAGUAUCCUUUUUGAAGGCUUAAUGACCUUUUAGCUCUCGAAAUAUGGGUGAAAGUUCCGAUGCGGCCUCAAUGUUUAAAGCCGUUCGAUUCGACCCUUAAAGUUUCACUAUUGUAUCUUUUAGCCUUUUCUUUUCUUUCAAAUAACGGUAUAUAACGGGGAUAAACUUGACAAUUCAUAUUCAGGAUAAAGUCUGGGUGUAUUCUUUUAAGCCCUAAAAUAUACAUCUCGUUCCUUUUAACCCCUGAAGAAUACAUUAAAAUACAUUAGAUGUUACUUUUAACCCUCGAUGUUUAAUGCCUUUUUAACCCUCGCGUGUGAAAUAUCAACUUUGUCCACCCCGUUAUAUACCGGUAUACGCCACAAGGGCUAAAAGGUAUAAUCUAAAAACUUGAAGGGUCGAAUCAAACGACUUUAAACUUUGAGACUGCAUCGAAACUUCCACCCAUACUUCGAGGGCUAAAAGGUCACUAAACCUUUUUUGAAUUAUAUAAUGUUCUCUUAUAUUUUCGUGACUAUAUUUUCAUUGAUUAAAAUAUUGAAUAAAUCUUAUAAUUAUUUGAUUACUGUGUUUAAUAGGUAUCAUAACUUAUAAUUAAAUAUAUUUUUCGAAGAGAAAAUUGUAAAAUUAAAAUUCAGGUCAUUCUGAAAAAUUGCGUAUCAAAUAAUUUUAUUCAUCUAUAUCAUUCUGAUAUCUUAAUUGGGUUUGUCUAGUGUGCUUAUGGGCACGUGUUAAGCACCAAAUUUUAUAAGUUUGAUGGUUUUUUAUUGGUAUGGUUGGUGAAUUUGUAGGGGGGUCCACCAUUAUAAAAAGUAGGAGCCAAUAAAAAUCCACCAAACUUAUAGAAUUUGGUGUUUAGUGUGUGGUUAUGAGCACACUCACUAGAAAAAUCGAUAUUAAUUAAUCAGAUAAAUAACAUUUAGACUUGUCAAAUGACCGGUCAAGAAUACAAGAAAUAAAUAAGGACAGCAAGAAAUAAAUAAGGACAGCGGAAAAACAGAUGUAUCAACAAAUCUCUGCGUUAUGAUAGUACUGAAUGGCCUUCUGGGCGAAAAAAGUCAAAUUAGCAAUCUCUUAUUGAGUUAAAAUUAAAUACUUCCUCGUCUCACCCAUUUUUUUAUAUUUUUUUUUGGGGUGUUCCAUCCAAUUAUUUAUAUUUUAAAACUUAUCAAAAAUAGUCAAUGGAUCCCAUCAAUUCUCCAUUUUUUUCUUUUUCACACUACUUUUAUUCCACUAUCUUCUUUUUAUAGAUUAAAAGUCAAUGGAUCCCACCACUUUACCCAUUUUUCUUCCUCUUUUUCACUAUUUUAUAUAUAUUUCUUAACCUGCAUACCCAACCCAUUCGAUAAGAAAUGGUGGGACUAUUGAAUGCCCUGUGGAUUUCUCGCACGAGAGAUGCUGAAGUAACAGAAUGAAAUUAAUGGUCUUAAUAGAAAUAAGAAUAAGCAAUGCCAUGAUACUGGUACCUAAACAAUUUUUAGCCAAUAUCAUCAUAUCAAGGACCUCUGUAUCUGAUUAUGUAUAUGUACAUCAUUUGACGUAAUUAGAAAAUAUUUCAAAUGCAAAGACUUGUAAAAUCAAAUAAGCGCAUUCCUAUUUUCAGCAGAAUAUCAUCUCUGCCCAUUCAUUUCAAAGUGACGAUUACCAAAGGUUCUUGUUUAAACCAGGUCAAAGAAAUUUGCAGCUUGUUGGGUGAUGCGGCGAAGGUGUUCGAUGAAAUGCCUGUAUGAAGAUUUUUUCCAAUUGGUGAGAUUACUUGACAAUAUUUUAUUUUCUUGGAUCGCUACUAAGAACUUUUUAUGCUUGUGACCAUUGGGUCUUUUAAAGUGCUUGGCAUGUCUUCACUUUAUUGUGUUUUGAAGAGUUUGAUCUAGCGCUGGUUAAGACUAGUGGUAUAUGAAAAUUGAUCUUGGAACCUAGAAAUUGCACCUAGUUUGGGCUACCUUAAAAAUACUCUUUUAAGUGAUUGAUUUAGGAAUUUGGGUCCGGAAUCCGGAUGGCUGAGUUAUGGAAUGGAGCUUUGUUUACUCGAUAUUGUGCCAUUUCACGGGUUGUUGAAGCUGAGAGGUCACUCCAUUGAAGUGACCGAGUACUGAUGCUUAUUUUUAGCUCUGUAAGCAAUACUCUAGUGGCAAGCGUAAUUUGGACAUGUGUCUAUCACAAAUUUCUAAUGGUUGGCAAGCCAAAUCAUGACUUUAAAGAAGUUGAAAUAGUUUUCUAGUGACAAGCAAAGUCAGGAUCCCUCUAAUGGUAAACAAAGUCAUGGUCCUUUAAUGGCAAGCUAAGUCAGGAUGUGAGUUUAAAUAUGUAUGGUGAACCUGUAUGGUGCCUGGAAAAUUGUGCGUCGAUUCUCCGGUUAAAAAAUCUCGCCAAAUUCUGUUGAGGCGAUGAGCCUUGAAAUGCCUUUUGAAAGCAGAUGUUACUACUGGUGAAAAGGAAUUAAGAAAUCGAUGAAGAUUUAAAAGGGAACCAUAAGUAGGUUUUCUUCCAAUUUUUUGAUAGGCUUAUCUUGCUUUGUCAAGUUGCUAUCAUUUUCUUCUAUAAAUCUGACAGCUUAACUUGCCUUCAGACAAGUUGUUGUGAUUCUUGAUCUCUCAUAACUCUUCCAAUCUAUUUCUUCAGUUUUUUCUCCAUUUCUAAUCUUUCCUUCUCGCUUCUUCUACCUUUACGACUGAUCAUCUUCUUUAUAUGGCCUGCAACUACUAUCACUUUUAUAUUGGCGUCUAAACAUCAAUCCAUUAUCUUCAAGAUAAGAGCUCCACAAAGUUCCCACUCUUUAGUUUGAAGGUAGUUUGAGGGGGAGUGUUAAGGGACAAGAUUAAAGGGUACUAUGUCUUUCUAUCUGGAACAUUUGUUUUUACUAGAAUUUAGUAUUGUAACCUUCUAUAUAUUCUUUUUAUGUAGUAACUGUAGAAAGACAAGUAAAAAGAAAUUUAGUCAAUUAAUUUAUCUUCUUUCUUGUU
Daucus carota subsp. sativus is the source of this 6002-nucleotide RNA transcript. RefSeq lists it as uncharacterized. The transcript is spliced from 6 exons. The record is from RefSeq and is a predicted model, not a curated record. Lineage: Eukaryota; Viridiplantae; Streptophyta; Magnoliopsida; Apiales; Apiaceae.